This 641-nucleotide long non-coding RNA is filed under the name Manacus vitellinus (golden-collared manakin). RNAcentral's name for it is "lncRNA (ENSMVIG00005011620.1)". The record is from RNAcentral. Lineage: Eukaryota; Metazoa; Chordata; Aves; Passeriformes; Pipridae.
CAGCCUGGCAGUAUUGAACCUGUUGCUGCAUUAGCCGAGUUGUAUUUUGCUAGAUAGGGGAAGGAGGGUUGUCUGCUGUCUGGUAGGAGGGCUUUGUCUGUGUGCGCCUUUCUCUCUCUCCCUCUCUCGCUCUCCCUGUCUCUCGCACUCUCGCUCGCUCUCGCUCGCUCUCUCUCGCUCGCUCUCCCUUUCCCGUCUCUGUGGUUUGUAAGGUAGGUUGCAGUGUGUGUAUAUACACAACAUCAAGAGCAGGAAAAUGGACUCAUUAGGGAGGCAGGCAGUCAUUACCACUCACACUGUACUUCCAGGGAGACAGCGACUAUGAGGAGACAAACUGAGGACUGGGGAACAAGCAGCACAAGAGAGAAGUGUUGAGAGCUGCUCUUAACCCUUUUGGAGUCCGAAGUCAAAAGGGAACUGGAGGGCUUGACGCAUCCUUUACAUCCUGCAUUUACUCUGACCACAGUCCCUCCCUGUUCUCACAAGUAGAGCUCAGCCCUGCUUCCCUUCCUGUUGAUUCCCAGUCAGCUACAUGACUGCCUGAAGUUACAUUGUAGAUGCUGAAAUCACUGCACCUUAAAAACAAAAAGAUUAAGCUGCACUGCGUUCCUGUAAGUAAAAGCUUUUCCGGUACCUUUUGU